Molecule: ribosomal RNA, 466 nt
Filed under: uncultured bacterium
Lineage: Bacteria
Description: partial 16S ribosomal RNA
Rfam family: Bacterial small subunit ribosomal RNA
Source: RNAcentral
GAUGAACGCUGGCGGCGUGCUUAACACAUGCAAGUCGAACGAUGAAGCCCAGCUUGCUGGGUGGAUUAGUGGCGAACGGGUGAGUAACACGUGAGUAACCUGCCCUUAACUCUGGGAUAAGCCUGGGAAACUGGGUCUAAUACCGGAUAGGAGCGUCCACCGCAUGGUGGGUGUUGGAAAGAUUUAUCGGUUUUGGAUGGACUCACGGCCUAUCAGCUUGUUGGUGAGGUAAUGGCUCACCAAGGCGACGACGGGUAGCCGGCCUGAGAGGGUGACCGGCCACACUGGGACUGAGACACGGCCCAGACUCCUACGGGAGGCAGCAGUGGGGAAUAUUGCACAAUGGGCGAAAGCCUGAUGCAGCGACGCCGCGUGAGGGAUGACGGCCUUCGGGUUGUAAACCUCUUUCAGUAGGGAAGAAGCGAAAGUGACGGUACCUGCAGAAGAAGCACCGGCUAACUACGUG